Molecule: transfer-messenger RNA, 389 nt
Filed under: Elusimicrobiota bacterium
Lineage: Bacteria; Pseudomonadati; Elusimicrobiota
Description: Elusimicrobia bacterium (sediment metagenome) transfer-messenger RNA
Rfam family: transfer-messenger RNA
About the family: Bacterial tmRNA, also known as 10Sa RNA or SsrA, is named for its dual tRNA and mRNA-like properties. Its role is to liberate the mRNA from a stalled ribosome.
Source: RNAcentral
GGGGGUGAUCAGGGCUCGACAGGGGGAACGGGCGGCAUGCUGUGCAGGCGGUGGUUGAUCGAAGGGCCACCUAAAAAAUCGAUCACCAAUACGUGCGAAUUACAAUUUCGCAUACGCCGCCUAACUGACGGCUAUAUCCCCGACUGAAGCCUGUAGGACGGGGACGAACGCACAGGCGCCCUUCCGUCGGGGCUGAUGGCGGAUACCGGAUGAGCGGUUGACCCUGACCGCCGGCCGGGAAUAUCGCCGAGAGGCGAAACAGGGUCUCUGUCGCGGGUGCCUGGUCUCGAGGCGAGCCCGGGGCGAGAUGUCACCAUAUCGAGGCUAAGCCUGUAGAUCACGUGCCGGACGCCUUCUGGACGCGGGUUCGAUUCCCGCCACCUCCACCA